Long non-coding RNA from Beta vulgaris subsp. vulgaris (sugar beet), 700 nucleotides. RefSeq lists it as uncharacterized. The record is from RefSeq and is a predicted model, not a curated record. The transcript has 2 exons. NCBI's taxonomy places the organism in Eukaryota, Viridiplantae, Streptophyta, Magnoliopsida, Caryophyllales, Amaranthaceae.
UUUGUCGGGCCAUGAAACAAAACCCCAACUCCCUCCCUUAUCUCGUCAUUUCCUCACAAAUCCCCAAACCUGUGAAACCCAAAACCCCAACCUCCAAACCCUGAAAACCUGAAACCCCAGUCUUCUCUCUCUCCUUGUCGUUCUCGUCAGAACCCCAAGCUCGCCGGAGCUUCGACGUGCUGCCGUUUUUCCCCUCCCUCGCGCGAUACUGCUAUGGUUUUAUUGUCGCGUCUUCUUCCUUCUUCCUGUGGUGGUGCUAUUGUCGGUCUUCGCAAUUAGUCCGGUCGUGUUGUUUGUGUCCCGCCGUGAAAUUGUUAUUGUUGUGUCGUUGUUGGUGGCUGUUGCUGCUGGGUUGCCGUGGCUGGAGACCACAUUUCUCCCUCCUCUACCGCUAUUCUGUUCUUCCUCCUCUGUUCGUGUUAUGUUGUUACGAUGCUGCUCGUGUGCCACCGCAGUGCUGCUGAUGUUUAUGGUUGUUGGCGCCGCCGUGGUUUGUUGCUGCCAACACCUUGCUGUUGGUGGUUGAGGCAAAGUACAAAAGUAUUUUAAAUGUUUCAGGUUAAAGCCGAAAGUAAAAUUUUUGCAAGUUGAAGCUAAUACAAGCUGGAGCAGAAUUGUAGUUGUUAUCGAAGUGAGGACGCUUGACUUUGUAAUAGUUAGUCGUUUAUUAUUUAUAAUAUAUCUAUCCAUUUAAGAGUCA